CUCUAUUACUUAGCUGUUCAAGCAGCCGGACAUUGUAGCGCCAUCCCCUCAUACCACAUAGUAAACGUCACUUGUAAACGUUCAGGUUUUGUCAAGCAAACUGGACAGUUCUUUCUUAAGAAGAUAUCAACUUCAGAAACUGCCAGCAGAGGUCAAUACGAUCUGCAUUAACGAUGCAUGGUAACAUCGCGAUAGCUUUGUUAUAUAUAACCUCUUCUUCCAAUUACUUAAUUAUCUUUUUCAAGUUAUUGAAUUUACGUUAUAACGUCAAAUAAAAUAUCAUUUCAUUAAAACAUUUCGACGAAAGAAUUAAAAGGAUGUUUAGAGAUUCUCAAUAUUCAUUGGGAAUUCAGGUCUCGGAUUUCUUUAAAUAAGAGUUGAAAAACGAGAUUAUAUGUAUGUAUGAGAGAAAGAGAAAGGAGAAUUUGAUCGUUUCUUUCUUACUACGUUUCAGAAACGAAAGUUGCUCUUCUCAUUGUUAAAUGAAUGGAACGGUGUACAAAAGAAGCUACGAUUUCAAGGGGGUGAUUCCCAACAUGGAUCAGGUAGAUAGGCGGAAUAACGAGCAAGGAAGAAUCACGAAGCUACUUGACGCUAAUUGCGCAGGACGCUUAUCGUUACAUUUACUCACGAAUCGGAGACUGUUGAGUAUAUGUAUAUGUAUUACAAACACGAAUAACUCGAGUGGCUUGACUAAUGAUCGUGGAAAAAAGACAGAAUAACGACCUCCGAUCGCUUCUUACAUUCACAUGCCGUUAAUGCGUAUAUACCGACUAAGUAUCAAGAAUUGUCAUCUUUCAUAGAAAUUUUCUAUCUCUAUCCAUAUCCGCGAACGAUUCAACACCAGUUGACUCGAACUUUGAUAUAGAAACCUAUACGUUACUUUCUUUUUCUUUAUUCCUCUUUUCCUUUAGAAUUCGUUACACCGAUGCAAUACCAGAAGCUCGUUAACACGGAUAAAAAGUAAUACGGGGGAAACCGAAUAUCCGUUAUGCGCGUGCAAAGUGUACGUAACGUAACGUAGAGUCACUCAAACUUUCGAGACAAGAGAUAUGUGCGUCAUCAUCGAGGAACGAAUUUCAUCGAUGUCAUUAAAAAACAACAAACAUUUGAUCUGAACUGAAAGCAUAUUCGUAGCAAGCUAUAGAGGAGCAGAUGUUUUGUAGAAAAUAUUACGAACGAUUUUUAGUUAGAGAAAGUCGACUCUGCCUUGUGUGUCGGUGCAAAUAAAAUCGGACCCUAAAUAGCACGUCUGGCGAGGGGUUAAAACACCCGUUGGAAAUAAAAAAGGCACUGCGCGCACGAUCCUUCUGCAUAACGGCAUGUGUACCCCUUCUAUGUGUACAUGUGUAACUUUAUGACAGACAUGUGUAUACAAAUUUCAAAUGAUACGCUCGCCUCAAUUGAUCAUAGCCCGUCUGACCGUAAAAUUCGCAUAGCAGACGAAAAAUCGUAAAACGUACGAAAAAAAAAAAAAAAA
Apis mellifera (honey bee) is the source of this 1480-nucleotide long non-coding RNA. RefSeq lists it as uncharacterized. The record is from RefSeq and is a predicted model, not a curated record. The transcript is spliced from 2 exons. Lineage: Eukaryota; Metazoa; Arthropoda; Insecta; Hymenoptera; Apidae.